RNAcentral lists this ribosomal RNA (447 nucleotides) under uncultured bacterium. RNAcentral's name for it is "partial 16S ribosomal RNA". It matches the Rfam family "Bacterial small subunit ribosomal RNA", at positions 29 to 523 of the family's 1533-position model. The record is from RNAcentral.
AGCGAACGCUGGCGGCAGGCUUAACACAUGCAAGUCGAACGCCCCGCAAGGGGAGUGGCAGACGGGUGAGUAACACGUGGGAACGUACCCUUUGGUUCGGAAUAACUUGGGGAAACCCAAGCUAAUACCGGAUAAGCUCUUAUGGGGAAAGGUUUACUGCCGAAGGAUCGGCCGGCGUCUGAUUAGCCAGUGGGUGAGGUAAUGGCUCACCAAGGCGACGAUCAGUAGCUGGUCUGAGAGGAUGAUCAGCCACACUGGGACUGAGACACGGCCCAGACUCCUACGGGAGGCAGCAGUGGGGAAUAUUGGACAAUGGGGGCAACCCUGAUCCAGCCAUGCCGCGUGAGUGAUGAAGGCCUUAGGGUUGUAAAGCUCUUUUACCCGGGACGAUAAUGACUGUACCGGGAGAAUAAGCCCCGGCUAACUUCGUGCCAGCCGCCGCCGUAA